AACGAACGCUGGCGGCAUGCCUAACACAUGCAAGUCGAACGAGACCUUCAGGUCUAGUGGCGCACGGGUGCGUAACGCGUGGGAAUCUGCCCUUGGGUUCGGGAUAACAGUUGGAAACGACUGCUAAUACCGGAUGAUGUCUUCGGACCAAAGAUUUAUCGCCCAAGGAUGAGCCCGCGUAGGAUUAGCUUGUUGGUGAGGUAAGAGCUCACCAAGGCGACGAUCCUUAGCUGGUCUGAGAGGAUGAUCAGCCACACUGGGACUGAGACACGGCCCAGACUCCUACGGGAGGCAGCAGUGGGGAAUAUUGGACAAUGGGCGAAAGCCUGAUCCAGCAAUGCCGCGUGAGUGAUGAAGGCCUUAGGGUUGUAAAGCUCUUUUACCCGGGAUGAUAAUGACAGUACCGGGGGAAUAAGCCCCGGCUAACUCCGUGCCAGCCGCCGCGGUAA
This 449-nucleotide ribosomal RNA is filed under the name uncultured bacterium. RNAcentral's name for it is "partial 16S ribosomal RNA". It matches the Rfam family "Bacterial small subunit ribosomal RNA", at positions 29 to 523 of the family's 1533-position model. The record is from RNAcentral.